Molecule: ribosomal RNA, 964 nt
Filed under: Pythium vanterpoolii
Lineage: Eukaryota; Oomycota; Peronosporomycetes; Pythiales; Pythiaceae
Description: LSU rRNA
Rfam family: Eukaryotic large subunit ribosomal RNA
Source: RNAcentral
GGAUUCCCCUAGUAACGGCGAGUGAAGCGGGAUGAGCUCAAGCUUAAAAUCUCUGUGCCAGUUUGGCAUGGCGAAUUGUAGUCUAUGGAGGCGAUAUCAGUGCGACUGUUCGGGGUAAGUUCCUUGGAAGAGGACAGCAUCGAGGGUGAUACUCCCGUUUGUACCUGUUCAGUUGCGCGUACGAUACGUUUUCUUUGAGUCGCGUUGUUUGGGAAUGCAGCGCAAAGUAGGUGGUAAAUUCCAUCUAAAGCUAAAUAUUGGUGCGAGACCGAUAGCGAACAAGUACCGUGAGGGAAAGAUGAAAAGAACUUUGAAAAGAGAGUUAAAGAGUACCUGAAACUGCUGAAAGGGAACCGAAUCGUUUCCAGUGUCUAUAAUCCAUGGUAUAUUUCAUUGGUGAGUGAGUGCGUGCAGCGUUUUGGAAGUGGUUUCCGCUCCUGUCGUUGUUGUGCAUUUGCUUGCUGGUGCCCUGUGCUGUGGUGGGACGUCAGAGUCAGUUUGUAUGUUGCGGGAAAUGAUUAUUGGGGAGGUAGGUCGCUUCGGUGGCUGUUAUAUCCUGAUAAUUAGUCGUCGUGGCUGAGACUGAGGUGCCUACAACGUGCUUUCGAGUCUGCGGGUUUCUCGUGUUGCUGUUUGCUUUGAUAGCUUGCUAUGUUGGUGAAUAAGUAGUGCGAUUGAGAUUUGUAGUAACUUGUUGCCGUUCGGGACUUUGACGAAAUGGAGCGAUCCGACCCGUCUUGAAACACGGACCAAGGAGUCUAACAUGUGUGCAAGUGUUAGGGUGUGGAAACCCCAGCGCGAAAUGAAAGUAAAGGACGGCCUAGCUGUCUGAGGUAGGAAACCUUUGUUUACAGGGGUGGCACUAUCGACCGAUCAUGAACCUUCGUGGUGAAAGAUUUGAGUUUGAGCACAUAUGUUGGUACCCGAAAGAUGGUGAACUAUGCCUGAGUAGGGUGAAGCCAGG